AGCUUUGCGCAGUGGCAGUAUCGUAGCCAAUGAGGUUUAUCCGAGGCGCGAUUAUUGCUAAUAGAAGAUACUGGUUCAUUGAAUUAUAUAGAUCUUCGACAUGUUGAUAUAUUUAAUUUUUCAGUACUAAAAAUCACAUUUGUGA
Neomonachus schauinslandi (Hawaiian monk seal) is the source of this 145-nucleotide small nuclear RNA. RefSeq annotates it as U4 spliceosomal RNA. The transcript has a single exon. Lineage: Eukaryota; Metazoa; Chordata; Mammalia; Carnivora; Phocidae. The record is from RefSeq and is a predicted model, not a curated record.